Triticum aestivum (bread wheat) is the source of this 348-nucleotide long non-coding RNA. RefSeq lists it as uncharacterized. The transcript has 2 exons. Lineage: Eukaryota; Viridiplantae; Streptophyta; Magnoliopsida; Poales; Poaceae. The record is from RefSeq and is a predicted model, not a curated record.
UGACGUCUCAGUUUCAACUUUCAAGCAAACAAUACUACGUACUACAAAAGUAUGUAUUGCUUUCUCGGCUCAUAGCAACAGGAGCUUCUGCUCCAUCCCUACUGAUGAAAAGGCACCACAAGUUACUUCAAUCCAACCAAAUGGACGGACAGAGACGAAUAGAAGGCCUCUCCCAUAAGAGAUGGAAAAGGCCUACUGGUCCAGCAGGAAAUUCGUACAAGGAACACUGAAGGAAGCAAAAUGGAGAGAAAAUAUUGGCCAUCUAGCGCUUCCAAUCAAGAAACCAACCGGAAAUCUUGACCGUUUUUCUAGACCAACAUGAGUGUGGACAGUGGUUGAGUUGGAGAG